CCAGCGUUUCAGGAAGAUCUGCAGGUGAGUCCACGGCAGACUGCAGUUGCAGAAGCCCUGAUCUAGAACAGGUACUUCAGGCAGGUUUCUCCUGAGUUCUGAAAGAGUGGAGAGGGUUAGCAAUACAGGCAGCUCUCACCAGCACUAACACCCAGGGCGCCGGUUAGUAUAAGAGCCAAGUGAUCUCAAUUAUGCCAAUUUCAGAGUCACGUUCAGCCAUACUGGUUGGUUAAAGAGCCAAGGCAAUGAACUGAGCAGAGCCAGGACGGGGCUGCAGGACGUUACUCCGGAAGCCGAAGACAACCUCAUGGUCAUUUGAUCUGAGAAAACAUCUAUUAACAACACACAGAGGGACUUCCCUGGUGGUCCAGUGGUCGAGAAUCUGCCUUCCAAUGCAGGGGACGCAGGUUCGAUCCCUGGUCUGGGAACUAAGAUCCCACAUGCUGUGGGGCAACUAAGCCUGCGCGCCACAACUACUGAGCCUGCCACGGUCUGGAGCCCAUGCAUCACAACUAGAGAGCCCACAUGCCACAGCUACUGAGCCUGCGUGCUCUAGAGCCCAUGCCACAACUAGAGAGAAGCCCACGUGCCGCAACAAAGAGCCCAUGCACCACAGUGAAAGAUCCCGCAUACCGCAAGGAAGAUCGCACGUGCUGCAACUAAGACCUGAUGCAGCCAAAUAAAUAUUUUUUAUAAGAAAGCCAUCAACAGUAGCCUUUGGACCCAUCAUUUAGAAGGUUCUCGACACACCACGACCUCAAGGGUUGGAUUGGGUUCUGCUCUUUGCCACAUUUUGCCCAUUUGAGAACAAGAGGAGCUGAGCACACUUUGCUCUGAGGCAGUUCUGAGUUUAAGCCUCACCUUUCUGGAUCAAAUUCAUCGACAGCUGGGGAUUCACGCUUGUGGACUUGCUGUUUCAAAGUCAGAUGCUUUUCCUUAUUGGCCAGAAACUCCUAUUCCAGCAGUUCGAGGUGUCCCUGCAUUUUCUCGAGGACCUGUAACAGUGGAGUCACUGGAAUCAUUCACAGAUCCACCCUCCAACUUUCUCUGUGCCCCAGCCAGGAGGCUGGCCUUCAAUGGACUGUAUCAAUAGGCUCCCAGGCCUCUGGUUUUGGUUGAUUUCAGCCAAUGGAAGACAACAGCAGGAGAGAGGAACUGAAGAAGGAUGAGUUGGAAGUUGGCUGCAAUUGAAUAAUAGAGCAAAACCUGAUCAUGCUGUGCCUGCUUCUUCUGGGUAGCUUUGACUGUAAGAAAUCAGCUUUGAAGACUACAUAGGGAACCUCUGAUGUGAUCUAAACUUGUCUUUUUUUUUUGUUGCUUUUGUUGUUCUUUUAAGAGCCUUCAAAAAUACUGACUUUGACUCUGUUUUAAUUUUCAAAUUCUCUCCCUCUGUUCCUAGCUCAAGAUUUCUAUUUACCCAUGAAAGCAAAUAGGAGAUGGCUCAGAGUAGUAUAUCCUAGGCCACGCCCAGAGGUCAGGUAGUCAUGGAUUUUGUAUCCAGUGUAUGGUGUUUCUAGAUUAAAAUAUGUUCAGAGGUAAUGUGAUAGAAGGCUCCCUCUGCAAUGACUGCAUUUGAUUACGCUCUGGUAAUUCUAUCAGCUAACUCUAUCUCAGAAAUGUAGGGUGCCCACAAAUGCAGUGUCUGUGACUGUAACCACACACCAUUCAGGGCGACGGUCUGGCUUCAUCCCGCUAUUGUUGAGUGGCAGUAGGAAGACACUGUGAAGGAGCAACAAACCAAUCCAAUCCUCCCUGGAGAGCCGAUAGAUGUAUUAUUCAUAGUCAGUCUUAGCAAUGUAGGCCUUCCAUGAGUGUACGCAAAGUUGAUGACCAGCUGCUACAAGUUGUCUAUCUUGAAACUGUUUUAAAAGAACAAAAAAUUUUUUUGAGACUGAGUAAACUAGUGUAUGGAGAAGCUUCCUCUUGGUGUUUUACCAGCAGCCUUUGCUUACUUUCCUUGCCCUUUGGUGGUCAGUGCUGUCCUUUUAUCCAAUUUUCCCACUGACAUAGCCAGGUAAUCAUCAUAGAUUGUUGGAUUUGUAUGGUAAACAAUGGACCUUUGCUGUGCUUUGGGAACGUUUAGAAAACUCUUACCAGUUGAUUUUCUAAAAAUAAUACUUACCACAAAUUUCAAAACACGCUUGAUUUAAAGAAGUAUAAUACCUCAUCCUUUCCCUAAACUUUCUAGCUUGAGUUUGGCAACCUCUGCCUAGAGAUAAGAAGGGCCAGAAUAUUUUAGGAAAAUUCUUUCUCUUUUGUUUAAAGACUUGCUCUUCUUUCCCUCACAUUUUACCCCCUGUCUAAAGGAAGAACAUUGACUUGAAAUUAUCAAUAAAUGUUUUAAAGAAUAAAAUG
This is a long non-coding RNA of Orcinus orca (killer whale), 2355 nucleotides long. RefSeq lists it as uncharacterized. The transcript is spliced from 6 exons. Lineage: Eukaryota; Metazoa; Chordata; Mammalia; Artiodactyla; Delphinidae. The record is from RefSeq and is a predicted model, not a curated record.